Pongo abelii (Sumatran orangutan) is the source of this 148-nucleotide unclassified non-coding RNA. It matches the Rfam family "Metazoan signal recognition particle RNA". From Rfam's summary of the family: The signal recognition particle (SRP) is a universally conserved ribonucleoprotein. It is involved in the co-translational targeting of proteins to membranes. Lineage: Eukaryota; Metazoa; Chordata; Mammalia; Primates; Hominidae. The record is from Ensembl.
GCUGGGCGUAGUGGCGGGUGCCUGUAAUCCCAGCUACUCGGGAGGCUGAGGCAGGAGAAUCGCUUGAACCCGGGAGGCGGAGGUUGCAGUGAGCCAAGAUUGCGCUACUGCAGUCCAGCCUGGGCAACAGAGUGAGAUUCUGUCUCAA